GAUGAACGCUGGCGGCGUGCCUAACACAUGCAAGUCGAGCGAACAGACGAGGAGCUUGCUCCUCUGACGUUAGCGGCGGACGGGUGAGUCACACGUGGAUAACCUACCUAUAAGACUGGGACAACUUCGGGAAACCGGAGCUAAUACCGGAUAAUAUAGUGAACCGCAUGGUUCAAUAGUCAAAGACGGUUUUGCUGUCACUUAUAGAUGGAUCCGCGCCGCAUUAGCUAGUUGGUAAGGUAACGGCUUACCAAGGCUACGAUGCGUAGCCGACCUGAGAGGGUGAUCGGCCACACUGGAACUGAGACACGGUCCAGACUCCUACGGGAGGCAGCAGUAGGGAAUCUUCCGCAAUGGGCGAAAGCCUGACGGAGCAACGCCGCGUGAGUGAUGAAGGUCUUCGGAUCGUAAAACUCUGUUAUUAGGGAAGAACAAAUGUGUAAGUAACUAUGCACGUCUUGACGGUACCUAAUCAGAAAGCCACGGCUAACUACGUG
This 497-nucleotide ribosomal RNA is filed under the name uncultured bacterium. Its description in RNAcentral is "partial 16S ribosomal RNA". It matches the Rfam family "Bacterial small subunit ribosomal RNA", at positions 28 to 507 of the family's 1533-position model. The record is from RNAcentral.